Molecule: non-coding RNA, 692 nt
Organism: Paralichthys olivaceus (Japanese flounder)
Lineage: Eukaryota; Metazoa; Chordata; Actinopteri; Pleuronectiformes; Paralichthyidae
Source: RefSeq, a predicted model, not a curated record
CUGUGUUUCCCGCCAGUUUUCUGUCGCACCUGUUGGUCAUGGUGUCAUCACUUCCUCUGUGAGUUGCACACCUGACCCAACAUGUCCUCCUGCACAGGAGGUUGUGUGUUCAUGCCCGGGUUUGCCACAGGUCGAGAAAGAACUCUUGCUCAGGGGAGAACAGGAGGAGAGAGAGCGGAGGGGAUGAAGAGUGCGACAGGCAGAUGAUGAGGCACCAAAAGAGCUACUGAAGAGGUGAAGUGUCAGACAGACAGAUGCAGGUCAUGCUGCUGCUGCUGUGUGCAGACACCUUUUUUCAGCCUCUGGUGAAGUUAAUUGCCGAGUUGUAAAGGAAAUGGCAACAGAUUACUGCAGAGACCUUCUGUUCCCCCCGCAGACUGCAGGGAAGUUGGAUGGCGUCCAUGUGAACCUGCUGACUGGAACGAGCAUAGAGAGCAGAGGCAAUGCUCCUCUUUCAGCCAGGGAGGAGGAGAUAACUGAUAGAUGCUGGUAGCUUUGUUGGUUUCACAAGUGUGCUUGCACUGUUGUCAGAAAAAAGAAGUAGUUUAAAGAGCCAAUGUGUAGCACAAUGUGCAGAGCUGCUCUUUUUUUCUUCAGGCUCUGUACCAUUUUUUUCUUCAAGUUAUUUGGUUAUUUUCAGAGUUAUUGUAAAAACAAAUUUUAAACCUGAUUGAUUAAAGAUGAUAAAUAGA